This 543-nucleotide long non-coding RNA is filed under the name Equus caballus (horse). RNAcentral describes it as "lncRNA (ENSECAG00000049036.1)". The record is from RNAcentral. Lineage: Eukaryota; Metazoa; Chordata; Mammalia; Perissodactyla; Equidae.
GGUGUGGGCAGGGAGAAAGCAGACCGUAAUCUCCCUCCUCCUCAAAUGAUUAGGCGAGAAGAAGAGAAGAAGGAGAAAUCACCUGGCUUCGGGCUUCACCCAAAGCGACAAGUGAGGUCUGUUUUCUGCACCCAACCCUUGGGGGGAAUAUCUGUCUUUUGGCAACAGGGGUGGCGUUUGGCCCCUUCAGGCCAGCCAGAGGCCCACCUGAGCAAGCAGGAAGCAGCCAGCAGGAGCGUGGUGUGGGCUUAAGAAGGAGUGCGUGUCCGGUGGGAUGUCCAGCGCUUCCCUCACGAUUCCUUCCAACGACGCCAGAAGGCGAAGGUCAUCAACCCCAUUCUAAACACUGGGAAGCUGGGGGCUCGGAGGGGACAGUUCGCUGCCCAGGAUGCCCCCGUGUGGGGUGUGUGUGGGACCUGCGGGGCAGAGGAGAGCCCCGGGCACGUGGGAGUUGGCGGUGGAGAAUCAGCCAGGGCUGGGGCCUCCUGGCAUGGGUGGGUGUGGGCGACUGAGUGAGAAGGAGGGCUCCCUAUGUCCCAGCAG